UACGGAAGGCAGCAGUGGGGAAUAUUGCACAAUGGGCGCAAGCCUGAUGCAGCCAUGCCGCGUGUAUGAAGAGGGCCUUCGGGUUGUAAAGUACUUUCAGUCGUGAGGAAGGUGUUAAGGUUAAUAACCUUAGCAAUUGACGUUAGCGACAGAAGAAGCACCGGCUAACUCCGUGCCAGCAGCCGCGGUAAUACGGAGGGUGCGAGCGUUAAUCGGAAUUACUGGGCGUAAAGGGCACGCAGGCGGUUAAUUAAGUUGGAUGUGAAAUCCCCGGGCUUAACCUGGGAAUGGCAUUCAAGACUGGUUAGCUAGAGUCUUGUAGAGGGGGUAGAAUUCCAUGUGUAGCGGUGAAAUGCGUAGAGAUGUGGAGGAAUACCGGUGGCGAAGGCGGCCCCUGGACAAAGGCUGACGCUCAUGUGCGAAAGCGUGGGGAGCAAACAGGGAUUAGAUACC
This 453-nucleotide ribosomal RNA is filed under the name uncultured bacterium. RNAcentral describes it as "bacterial SSU rRNA". It matches the Rfam family "Bacterial small subunit ribosomal RNA", at positions 340 to 786 of the family's 1533-position model. The record is from RNAcentral.